CUGCAGGGAGCCGCUGGCCUCCAGAUCUGACGGUGGGAAGACCCGGUCUCCUGAGUGGCCCCUGGGGCUAAAUGAUGAGCACCGACAGUCAGACGGUGCGUCGGCCGAGCUGCAGGGAAAAGGGAAAACACUUUUACUAUGGGUUGUCGUGGUUUUCUUUCCCUGGAAGAGCUGCGUGGAGGUACCAUCACUGUCUCCAUUGUGCCGGCAAGGAGAGUUUAAGUCACGACCCCAGGGGGUGAGUACGGAGCUGGGGUUCCCACCCAGAGCUGGAGGGGGAAGCUGGGAAGGCUGGGAGGGCGCUGCUCCUGCCCCGGGCGAGACAAGCAGUGGGAUUCUCCGAGGCAGGACUUUGCCUCGGGAAGGUGCUGCCUGACGGGAGGAAGGGCUGGGCUCACUUGGAGGGGACCCCUGAGCGUCAUAGUGGGACCCAGGGGCAGUACGGCCAUGACCCUGACUGAAAGUCCACCUGUAUCCUCCCAAGUGUGGGACGGGGGGCGGGAGGGGCCUGGGUUGGCAUGACACUGGAAGGCCUCUCAGCAGAUGCUGUAGGACCCUUGAGUAAAGCAGACAG
Molecule: long non-coding RNA, 574 nt
Filed under: Mustela putorius furo (domestic ferret)
Lineage: Eukaryota; Metazoa; Chordata; Mammalia; Carnivora; Mustelidae
Description: lncRNA (ENSMPUG00000025024.1)
Source: RNAcentral